ACAGAGUGUGUACCUGCAGGACCUAAAAAUACAACUUCAUUUUCUGCUCUUUUCUUUUUUUCUUAUUAAAGACUUACUGUGUCAGAAAGUCAACUCUGUAGUGGACAAGUGACUCCAUGCCUGGUAAUAGUUGUCUCCUCCCUCGAGUUCUUGCUUUAUUGAGGUAUAUACGAUAUCGUGCAGGGAGAAGAAGCUGGUGGAUGACUCUGGUCAUUUCUGGACAUGCAGCCUUUGGGGUGAUUCUGUCGAUUCACUGGGCAAAACCCUGAGUCUUUGUAUGGGUG
Chiroxiphia lanceolata (lance-tailed manakin) is the source of this 284-nucleotide long non-coding RNA. RefSeq lists it as uncharacterized. Lineage: Eukaryota; Metazoa; Chordata; Aves; Passeriformes; Pipridae. The transcript is spliced from 3 exons. The record is from RefSeq and is a predicted model, not a curated record.